GACGAACGCUGGCGGCGUGCUUAACACAUGCAAGUCGAACGGUGAAGGGAUCAGCUUGCUGGUUCUGGAUGAGUGGCGAACGGGUGAGUAACACGUGAGUAACCUGCCCCCUUCUUCUGGAUAACCGCAUGAAAGUGUGGCUAAUACGGGAUAUUCUGCGCCUGCUGCAUGGUGGGUGUGGGAAAGAUAUUGUUUCGGUGGGGGAUGGGCUCGCGGCCUAUCAGCUUGUUGGUGGGGUGAUGGCCUACCAAGGCGGUGACGGGUAGCCGGCCUGAGAGGGUGGACGGUCACACUGGGACUGAGACACGGCCGAGACGCCUACGGGAGGCAGCAGUGGGGAAUAUUGCACAAGGGGAGAAAGCCUGAUGCAGCGACGCCGCGUGAGGGAUGGAGGCCUUCGGGUUGUGAACCUCUUUCGCCAGUGAAGCAGGCCUGUCCAUUGUGGGUGGGUUGACGGUAGCUGGAUAAGAAGCGCCGGCUAACUACGUG
RNAcentral lists this ribosomal RNA (489 nucleotides) under uncultured bacterium. Its description in RNAcentral is "partial 16S ribosomal RNA". It matches the Rfam family "Bacterial small subunit ribosomal RNA", at positions 28 to 507 of the family's 1533-position model. The record is from RNAcentral.